UGGUGGAGUGAUUUGUCUGCUUAAUUGCGAUAACGAACGAGACCUUAACCUGCUAAAUAGCCCGGCUCGCUUUGGCGGGUCGCCGGCUUCUUAGAGGGACUAUCGGCUCAAGCCGAUGGAAGUUUGAGGCAAUAACA
This 137-nucleotide ribosomal RNA is filed under the name uncultured eukaryote. Its description in RNAcentral is "partial 18S ribosomal RNA". It matches the Rfam family "Eukaryotic small subunit ribosomal RNA", at positions 1299 to 1458 of the family's 1831-position model. The record is from RNAcentral.